GGCGGCAGAGGAAGCGGCAACACAUGAGCACACACUAGGGUAAACAGUCGCGCUGGCGAACAGUUGUUCAUCUAGAGCCGCAUCAGUUGGAUUCACGUGAAAUUGCAUUCCCCGGCGGAAAAUAUGGGAAAAUAUGCCGCACUCCCGCUUAGCCAGAUUCGAUUCCAAGCCCAAAGAAUGCUCCAUUUAGCCGCCGGACGGGCUAAAUUGGAUCUGGAGCCCUACCUUACCAGCUCAACUCACCGAAAGUUGGGUAGGGAAAACGUGAGAAGCGUAGUUUGGAUGUUUGGUUUGAUUUCAUCUUUGAAUUGUGCAAAUGAGUAGCACGAGCCAGAGCCAUGGGAGUCUAAAAAGUGGUUAGUGGUUCCACUGACCAAUGGGCAAACUUACCGAGAGGAACAACUGAUGAAGUAAAUGUGUAUCUGUGCACGUUUCGUACCACAAGUAAUGGUUAUACAGGUGUAUGUGUCCACUGUUUUUUGUUAUCAGUUAAAUAAAUUGAAAAUCGCGGAAUG
Non-coding RNA from Drosophila melanogaster (fruit fly), 515 nucleotides. Lineage: Eukaryota; Metazoa; Arthropoda; Insecta; Diptera; Drosophilidae. The record is from Ensembl.